Molecule: ribosomal RNA, 187 nt
Filed under: uncultured bacterium
Lineage: Bacteria
Description: partial 16S rRNA
Rfam family: Bacterial small subunit ribosomal RNA
Source: RNAcentral
CCUACGGGGGGCGGCAGUGAGGAAUAUUGGUCAAUGGAGGCAACUCUGAACCAGCCAUGCCGCGUGCAGGAAGAAUGUCCUAUGGAUUGUAAACUGCUUUUGUACGGGAAGAAAAAGUGUUACGUGUAACAUAUUGACGGUACCGUAAGAAUAAGGAUCGGCUAACUCCGUGCCAGCAGCCCCGGUC